GGGUAGCCGUAAGCGGUCAAUCCUUAUUGGAUUGGAAUUGGCCGUGAAGGAUAUCCAGGAAAUAGCAUCCACAUAAUGACCGUACCCGAAACCGACACAGGUGGGAUAGUAGAGUAUACUAAGACGCUUGAGAGAACUGUUCUGAAGGAACUCGGCAAAUUGCAUCCGUAACUUCGGAAGAAGGAUGACCCAUCCGUACGCAAGUAUGGUUGGGUGGCACAAACUAGGUGGUGGCGACUGUUUAUCAAAAACACAGGGCUCUGCGAAGUCACAAGACGACGUAUAGGGUCUGACGCCUGCCCGGUGCUGGAAGGUUAAAAGGAGGAGUGCAAGCUCUGAAUUGAAGCCCCAGUAAACGGCGGCCGUAACCAUAACGGUCCUAAGGUAGCGAAAUUCCUUGUCGGGUAAGUUCCGACCUGCACGAUGGCGUAACGACUUCCACACUGUCUCCAGAGCAGACUCAGUGAAAUUGAAUUCCCCGUGAAGAUGCGGGGUACUCGCGGUUAGACGGAAAGACCCUAUGAACCUUUACUAUAACUUCGCAGUGCAAUACGAUUUUCAUGUGUAGCUUAGGUGGGAGACUUUGAAGCAGGGGCGCAAGCCUUUGUGGAGUCAUCAGUGAAAUACCACCCUUGGACCUUGUGUUGUCUAACCGUGGCCCGUAUAUCCGGGCUCGGGACCCUGCGUGGUGGGUAGUUUGACUGGGGCGGUCGCCUCCCAAAUUGUAACGGAGGCGCGCGAUGGUGAGCUCAGGACGGUCGGAAAUCGUCUUUCGAGAGCAUUGGCAUAAGCUCGCCUGACUGUGACGCCGACAAGCGGAGCAGAAACGAAAGUUGGUCAAAGUGAUCCGGUGGUUUCCGUAUGGAAGGGCCAUCGCUCAACGGAUAAAAGGUACUCUAGGGAUAACAGGCUGAUAGCGCCCAAGCGCCCACAGCGACGGCGCUGUUUGGCACCUCGAUGUCGGCUCAUCUCAUCCUGGGGCUGGAGAAGGUCCCAAGGGUAUGGCUGUUCGCCAUUUAAAGAGGUACGUGAGCUGGGUUCAGAACGUCGUGAGACAGUUCGGUCCCUAUCUUCCGUGAGAGUUGGAGUUUUGAGAGGAUCUGUCCUUAGUACGAGAGGACCGGGAUGGACGCACCUCUGGUGUACCUGUUGUCGCGCCAGCGGCAUAGCAGGGUAGCUAUGUGCGGAAUGGAUAAACGCUGAAAGCAUCUAAGCGUGAAGCCAGCCUCAAUACCAGAACUCCCUAUUAGAGCCGUGGAAGACCACCACGUUGAUAGGCUGGAUGUGGAAGAGCCGUAAGGCUUGAAGCUAACCAGUACUAAUUGCUCUAA
RNAcentral lists this ribosomal RNA (1331 nucleotides) under metagenome. Its description in RNAcentral is "bacterial LSU rRNA". It matches the Rfam family "Bacterial large subunit ribosomal RNA", at positions 1555 to 2913 of the family's 2925-position model. The record is from RNAcentral.